Molecule: unclassified non-coding RNA, 190 nt
Filed under: uncultured fungus
Lineage: Eukaryota; Fungi
Description: sequence contains ITS1, 5.8S rRNA gene
Source: RNAcentral
UUAACUAUUAUAUAGUACUCAGACAUCACUAAACAAAAGAGUUGGGUCCUCUGGCAAGCACUAUCAGCCGAAGCCGACGCCCGAAGGCGGCCUGCCAAAGCAACAAAGGUAAGGUAGACACGGGUUUAGAAGGACUCCGCCCGGAGGCGAAGUUUCUUUAAUGAUCCUUCCGCAGGUUCACCUACGGAGA